AUUAUCCGAGGUGGGAAAGUUCGUUGCACCCACACGCCUUAAUGGUUAAAAGAGAUGUAACAGAAGCGACGGUUACUGGAUAGA
RNAcentral lists this non-coding RNA (84 nucleotides) under unclassified sequences. Its description in RNAcentral is "skipping-rope RNA". It matches the Rfam family "skipping-rope RNA". From Rfam's summary of the family: Firmicutes, Fusobacteria, AlphaProteobacteria, Spirochaetes. Downstream gene The record is from Rfam by way of RNAcentral.